AGGCCUGUAGUUCAAUUGGUAGAGCGCCGGUCUCCAAAACCGGAAGUUGGGGGUUCGAGUCCCUCCAGGCCUG
This 73-nucleotide transfer RNA is filed under the name Candidatus Zhuqueibacterota bacterium. RNAcentral's name for it is "candidate division KSB1 bacterium (activated sludge metagenome) tRNA-Trp". It matches the Rfam family "tRNA". Rfam says of the family: Transfer RNA (tRNA) molecules are approximately 80 nucleotides in length. Their secondary structure includes four short double-helical elements and three loops (D, anti-codon, and T loops). Further hydrogen bonds mediate the characteristic L-shaped molecular structure. tRNAs have two regions of fundamental functional importance: the anti-codon, which is responsible for specific mRNA codon recognition, and the 3' end, to which the tRNAs corresponding amino acid is attached (by aminoacyl-tRNA synthetases). tRNAs cope with the degeneracy of the genetic code in two manners: having more than one tRNA (with a specific anti-codon) for a particular amino acid; and 'wobble' base-pairing, i.e. permitting non-standard base-pairing at the 3rd anti-codon position. RNAcentral also lists the same sequence under 1 other name. The record is from RNAcentral. Lineage: Bacteria; Pseudomonadati.